UUUCCGUAGGUGAACCUGCGGAAGGAUCAUUAAUGAGUUGUCAUGGGGUUCGAUGCUGGCAGCCAGUUUUUGGAUGCAUGUGCUUGCCCUAACAAUCAUCUUCUUCCAAACACCUGUGCACAUUUUUGAGGGAGUCUUGAGUUGGUUGCCGCUCUUGGGUGAUUUUCUCACAUUCCCUUAAAUCAUUAUACGCUAUUAACAAUGUUGAACGUGCUCUGUGCCGCAAGGCCAUUAAUAUAAUACAACUUUUAACAACGGAUCUCUUGGUUCUGGCAUCGAUGAGGAACGCAGC
This 292-nucleotide unclassified non-coding RNA is filed under the name plant metagenome. Its description in RNAcentral is "partial contains small subunit ribosomal RNA, internal transcribed spacer 1, and 5.8S ribosomal RNA". The stretch from base 244 to 292 matches the Rfam family "5.8S ribosomal RNA", at positions 1 to 49 of the family's 154-position model. The record is from RNAcentral.